UUUUGCGUUGUGCGUUUUGUAACUCGAAUGUCCCAGUUUCUGUUCGUCAUUCCGCAGGGUCCGUGUGAGAGAUCAUCCUGCACAUAUUCUUCACGCUAUUCUUCAAGGUUGACUCUGUAACAUUGAAGCCUUCUACGAUGUUCAAGUACACCUUCUUCUGUCUGUUCGUGUGCCUAAUUGUUCUCGAAGUCCUGGUUGGCGCACAGGAAGGAGGACUCAAACAGAUCGGAGCAAAAAUUGAACAACAGACAAUAAGGGAAGAUAAAUUGGACGGUAGCUUACGGAAACUAGCGGAAAAUUCCUUAAACGCAAUGGGCCAGGUGCUGAACUCCCGUGAACGUUAAGGAAGGAAGGUCAUCGCACAAUGAACAACGAAAUGAAAGUGUGUAUUAACGAAAGACGUUCGACAACGCCUUCAACACCAUGGAGAAUUGUACUUCGUUUACCGUGGAAGCGUUGUAAUCGCCGAGGCAAUCCGCCUCAAUCGUCCAGUUAAAAUAAAUACGACGUGAGUGCUGUCGCGA
Ornithodoros turicata is the source of this 524-nucleotide long non-coding RNA. RefSeq lists it as uncharacterized. The transcript is spliced from 6 exons. NCBI's taxonomy places the organism in Eukaryota, Metazoa, Arthropoda, Arachnida, Ixodida, Argasidae. The record is from RefSeq and is a predicted model, not a curated record.